This 77-nucleotide transfer RNA is filed under the name Micavibrio sp. RNAcentral describes it as "tRNA-Asp". It matches the Rfam family "tRNA". Rfam says of the family: Transfer RNA (tRNA) molecules are approximately 80 nucleotides in length. The record is from RNAcentral. Lineage: Bacteria; Pseudomonadati; Bdellovibrionota; Bdellovibrionia; Bdellovibrionales; Pseudobdellovibrionaceae.
GCGGGUGUAGCUCAGUUGGUUAGAGCGCUGGCCUGUCACGCCGGAGGCCGCGGGUUCAAGUCCCGUCACUCGCGCCA